Molecule: long non-coding RNA, 299 nt
Filed under: Medicago truncatula (barrel medic)
Lineage: Eukaryota; Viridiplantae; Streptophyta; Magnoliopsida; Fabales; Fabaceae
Description: lncRNA gene46769
Source: RNAcentral
CCCGUGCCUGUGGUGGGUGGGACCAAUGAUUCUUUAGCUUUUCAAGGCUGGAAUUUCUUCUCAAGAGUCAUCGUUAAUGAGUUUAAUUAUUUUUUUUGUUCUUUUUUGUCUGGUUCGUUGGUUACUGGAUUCUAAACGAAUUCCUACCGAAUUUUCAUGAAAUGGGUUCGUAAAAGUACCGCAAACCGGUUCGUGCGAACCGGUUCCUUUAACAUCUUGUGGGUUUACAUUUCCUUUAACAGUCACCUUUUGUUCCUCCAUAUCAAUGUCAACUGAUUAUACACCUGCAAUGAGUAAAA